UUGAUCCUGCCAGUUAGUCAUAUUGUUUUCAAAGAAUUAAGCCAUGCAAUGUGUAAGUUAAUGAACUAAUUCAGACUGUGAAACUGCGAAUGGGUCUCAUACAAUCAGUUAUAGUUUGUUUGAUGGUACCUGCUACUUCGGAUAACCCGUAGUAAUUCUAGAGCUAAUACGUGCAACAAACCCCGACUUCUGGAAGGGAUGCAUUUAUUAUUAUAAGGUUCAACGCGGGCUCUGCCCGUUGCUCUGAUGAUUCUUGAAUAACUCGACGGAUCGCACGGCCUUUGCGCCGGCGACGCAUCAUUCAAAUUUCUGCCUAUCAACUUUCGAUGGUAGGAUAGUGGCCUACCAUGGUGGUGACGGGUGACGGAAUUAGGGUUCGAUUCCGGAGAGGGAGCCUGAGAAACGGGCUACCACAUCAAGGAAGGCAGCAGGCGCGCAAAAUUACCCAAUUCCUGACACGGGAGGUAGUGACAAUAAAUAACAAUACCGGCUCUUUUGAGUCUGGUACUUGGAAUGAGUACAAUCAUAAAAUCCCUUAACGAGGAUGCCUCAUUGGAGGCAAGUCUGCGUGCCAUAGCAGCCUCGCGGUAAUUCCAGCUCAAUAGCGAAUAUAUUUUACAGUUGUCUGCAGCUUAUAAAGCUCGUAGUUGGACCUUGAGGUGUGGUACGAACCGGUCCCGCCUUUGGUGUGCAACGGCCGUCUCGCUCUUUCGCGGCAUGCGCUCACAUGGGCCUUAACUGGCCGGAGUGUGGCCUCCGGCACUGUUUACUUUAACGAAAUUAGAGUGCUCAAAGCAAGCCUAUACGCUCUGUAUACAUUGAGCAUGGGAUAAACAUUAUAGGAUUCCGGUCCUAAUGUGUUGGCCUUCGGGAAUCGGGAGUAUGUUUAACAAGGGACAGUCGGGGCAUUCGAUAUUCUAAGUCAGAGGUGGUGAAAUUCUUGGAUUAUUAUGAAAGGACGAAACACUGCGAAAGACUUUGCCAGGAUGUUUUCAUUAAUCAGAACAAAGUUGGGGGCUCGAAGAACGAUCAGAUACCGUUCUAGUCUCAACCAUAAACAGCAUGCCGACAGGGAUCGGCGGAUGUUAAUUUUAGGACGCCGCCGGCAGCCUUAUGAGAAAUCAAAACGUUUUUUGGGUUCGGGGGGAAGUAUCGGUCGCAAGGCUGAAACUUAAAGGAAUUGACCGGAAAGGGACCACCAGGAGUGGGAGCCUGCGGCUUAAAUUUGACUCAACACGGGGAAACCUUACCAGGUCCAGACAGUAGUAAGGAUUGACAGACUGAAGAGCUUUUCUUGAUUCUAUGGGUGGUGGUGCAUGCCGUUCUUAGUUGGUGGGAGCGAUUUUUUGUUCUGGUUUAUUUCCGUUAACGAACGGAACCUUCAGCCUGCUAAUAGCUAUGCGGAGGGUAUACCUUCGCCAGCUUAAGCUUCUUAGAGGGACCUAUGGCCUUUUAGGCCACGGAAGGUUGAAGGCAAAUCAACAGCGUCUGUGAUUGGCCAUUAGAUGUUCUGGGCCGCAACGCGCGCUAACACUGAUGUAUUCAACGAGUCAAUAUAGCCUUGACCGACAGGUCCCCGGGUAAUCUUUGAAAUUUCUCGUGAUGGGGAAUAGAUCAUUGCAUUGUUUGGCUUCACGAGGAAUUUCUAGUAAAAGCGCGAGUCUUCAGCUCGCGUUUGACUACGUCCCUGCCCUUUGUACACACCGCCCGUCGGCUCUACCGAUGAAAUAGGUCCGGUUGAUAGUGUUCGCAUAUCGGCGGCGUAGCGUGGGCGGUCGCCGCAUAAACUUCAUAAUCUCAAAAUAUAAUAUUUCGUAUUUAAUUAAUGUAACCAUUAAAAUCUCAUUGGUCAAUU
Molecule: ribosomal RNA, 1855 nt
Filed under: Chenopodium quinoa (quinoa)
Lineage: Eukaryota; Viridiplantae; Streptophyta; Magnoliopsida; Caryophyllales; Amaranthaceae
Description: SSU rRNA
Rfam family: Eukaryotic small subunit ribosomal RNA
Source: RNAcentral